This 253-nucleotide ribosomal RNA is filed under the name uncultured bacterium. RNAcentral describes it as "partial 16S ribosomal RNA". It matches the Rfam family "Bacterial small subunit ribosomal RNA", at positions 524 to 776 of the family's 1533-position model. The record is from RNAcentral.
GACGGAGGAGGCAAGCGUUAUCCGGAAUUAUUGGGCGUAAAGGGUACGUAGGCGGCUGGUCAAGUCUGGGAUUAAAGGCCACAGCUCAACUGUGGGAAGGCCCUGGAAACUGACCGGCUAGAGUGAGGUAGGGGUUGCGGGAAUUCCCGGUGUAGCGGUGAAAUGCGUAGAUAUCGGGAAGAACACCUGAGGCGAAAGCGCGCAACUGGGUCCUAACUGACGCUGAGGUACGAAAGCUAGGGGAGCGAAUGGG